ACUUUCUUCAACCCAGCCAGUGAGCCACAGCACCACAAGGUAGUUGGAGAGCCCAUAAUCCCAGUAGAUAAACUUUGAUGCCAUUAAAAAAGAAAAGAAUCCAACCAUUUAGAAAGUUGGCCCUCCCAUCCAGGC
This 135-nucleotide long non-coding RNA is filed under the name Chinchilla lanigera (long-tailed chinchilla). Its description in RNAcentral is "lncRNA (ENSCLAG00000027048.1)". Lineage: Eukaryota; Metazoa; Chordata; Mammalia; Rodentia; Chinchillidae. The record is from RNAcentral.